GACAGAGGUGCCGAGCGUUAGGCGGAAUCACUGGGCUUAAAGCGUGUGUAGGCGGACCCGUAAGUACCUUGUGAAAUCCCACGGCUCAACCGUGGAACGGCUGGGUAUACUGCGGGUCUUGAGCGGCCUAGGGGCAGACGGAACAAGUGGUGGAGCGGUGAAAUGCGUAGAUAUCACUUGGAACGCCGACGGUGAAAACAGUCUGCUGGGGGCCUGCUGACGCUGAGACACGGAAGCCAGGGGAGCGAACGGG
This 253-nucleotide ribosomal RNA is filed under the name uncultured bacterium. Its description in RNAcentral is "partial 16S ribosomal RNA". It matches the Rfam family "Bacterial small subunit ribosomal RNA", at positions 524 to 776 of the family's 1533-position model. The record is from RNAcentral.